GGAAAGUUUGAAAUUGACUUUCUGUUCCACAGAAGGGUGAGUGACUGUAAGAUCAAGAUUCAGCACACGUGUGAGAAUGUGACUCCACUACAGAAAUACAGUUCACAAGAGGGAUUGAGGCUCUCACACAGAUUCAGUCCAGUGUUGAGAUUGUGACUGAUGUACUUAGACACAACACAAAGGGCAUGUUGGCUCUGUUACCUAGAACUGGGACAUGUGCUGGAUUCUUAAUUUAAUCUCUGGACCUUCCUGCAGGAGUGACAGUGACAUGUGUCUCUUUCCAGCACCUGAGUGAUUUGACUCUUUUGCUUGGGGCCUGCCCAAAUAUGAGUUUGUGACAUAUCACUAAAGGUAGCACCUAGGUGAUGUGACUCAUUCUCUUUACUUGGUGCUGGCCAUAAGAGACAUUUUGACAUAUCAUGGGCCUUGCAACCUGGUGGUACGAAUCUUCUCUUCUGUCUUUGUUUUUUUUUUAAGGCGGCAUUGUGACAUAUUGCUGCCCUGCAAAAGGGUUGUGUGACGCUCCUGCCUGUGCCCUGUCCACAUAGACCAUUGUAACAUAUUGUUGGGUCUAACACUUUGGUGAUGUAACUCUCCUGCCUGGUCCCUGCCUACAGAGGACAUUGUGACAUAUUUCUCUGCCCAUCACCCGGUUGAUGUGACUCACUUCUCCUGCCUGGUCUCUGCUCACAGAGGAGAUUGUGACAUAUACCUGGGCCCAGGACCUAGCUAAUUUGUCUUUUGUCUUUUUACAGCUUUCUGCCAACAAGAAAGAUAGUGAUAUAUAAUGGGGUUUAAUUCCAAGGUAUUAAUAAUAUUGCUAUUUUCCCUUGGCCCUGCUCUCAGAUGGAAUUGGGACAUAUUGAUAGGCCCCAGAAGCAAGGCGAUGUGAGUCUCCUGCCUGGAGCCUGUCCACAGAGGGCAUUGCUGCGUAUCUCUGAGCUCAUCAACUAUUUGAUAUGACUCUCCUUUUACUUGAGUUUUUUUAAAUAAAAGAGAUUUUGACAUAUCUGUGGGCCCAGCACCUAGGUGAUGGAACUGUCUUCUGCCUGAGUCACUCCCACAGAUGAGACAGUGACUUAUUUCUUGGACCAGCACACUAGUGAUGUAAUUUUCCUGCCUGAUUUCUGCACACAGAUUUCACUGUGACAUAUCUCUGGCCCCAUCACCUAUAUGAUUUGACAGUCUUCUUUGUUCUGGGACCUCUCCACAGUAGGCAUUGUGAUAUAUCACUUGGCCUAGCAGAGAGCAUUGUGACAUACCCGCGAGCCAAGCACACAGAUGAUGUUAUUCUGCUGCCUGUGCCCUGCUUUCAGGAGUGGAUUGCAAUGUAACACUGGCUGAGUACCCAGGUUAAUGACACUGUUGCCUGGUCCCUGUUCUCAGGGAAGACUGUAAUAGACCCCUGACCCAAUAUCCAGGGGACAUUGUGACAUACUUCUUGGCCAUGAACCCAGGUUAUGUGAGCCUUUCUGUGCCCUGCCCAUGUGGACAAUUGUGACAUAUUACCGAGUCCUACACCCAGGCGAUGCUACUCUCCUGUCUGGUCCUUGCCUACAGGGAACAUUGUGACAUAUCUCUUUGCCAUUCAUCCAGGUUCUGCCCACAGGGAAGAUUGUGGUGAAUUACUGAACGCGAUACCUAGAUGAAGGAGAGACUAUAACAUACCUCUUGGCCCAGCACCUAGUUGAUGUAACUCUGCUCUCCUGCCUGGGCCACACCUACAGAAGAAAGAGUGACUUCUCACUGGGCCAGCACACAGGUCAUGUUAUUUUACUGCCUUGAUCCUUGUCCACAAUAAUCAUUGUACAUAGUUUUGGGCUCUUCUACUAGAAGACGUGCGGGAUGGUUAAAUAUCACUGGACCUAGCACCUAGGGAAUGUGACUCUUGUCUUUUGCAUCAGCCCCACUCGUUUUGAGAACUGUAACAUAUCACUGGGCCAAACACCUAGAAGAUGGGAAGUGUCUGCCUAUGCCCUGCAAACAGGGCUUUAGCCCUACCACUCUCAAGAGCCUCGUGACAUAUCUCUGCAUUCAUCAUCUAGGAGAUGUGACUCCUCCCUGCUGCCUGCGCUCUGCCUACAGGGAAGACCAUAACAACAUUUGGCCCAGCAACACGGUGAUGUGUUUUUUCCCAGGGCCUUGCUCACAGGGAGCAUUGUGACAUAUCACUGGAACCAGCAUCCAGGGCUGUGACUCUGUGUCCUGCUGUUAGAACAGGAUUGUAACAUAUCACUGACCAAGCACCCAGGUGAUGUGACUCUUCUGCCUGGUGCCUGCCUUCAGGGAAAAUUGUGACAUAUGCCUGGCCUAGCACCAAAGUGAUGUGGCUCUCCUGCUACCUCUAUGCACAGGUGGGAUUGUGACAUAUACCUUCAUUCAGCUCAUAGGUGAGGUGAUAACUCUCAUACCACAAACCAAACAGUAGGAGAGAUGCUGUCUGUCAAAGCUAAGCUUACAGAAAUACACAAGAUUCAGGGACUUUUCUUUGUAUAAACAUUAUAGUAGAUUACUGCUCUCUUGUAUAUAAUAUAAACUUCUCAGGUGGUACAGAGAGUGUCAUCACAGGGCCCAGCGCACAGGUGAGAAUACAUUAUUUGUAUGCACGCCCCACCACCCAUUAGGAUUUUCACCCUCAAACAUGGAAAGAGCCUACUGGUAAGGUCUUGAAUCUCACACCUGGAUGCAGUCUACAGUUGAAAUUGUGAUUGUCAUAGGUGAAUAUCCAGCUGCAGUUGAGAUGGUGACUCAUUUCUAACUUAGCUCUGAGGCAGGUGAGGACUGUUUUAUUUGGAACCAGCCAAUUAUAAAGAUGUUGACUCUCAUAUUUGAGCUUAGUUCUACAGGUACAAUCAUGGGUCCAUAACAUCAUGAAGGUCAUAGAGCAGUUUGCAACUCUCAUUAAUACUGUAGAAGGCUCUUGGGUGGUACUGAGAGGGUCUUAGCAGAGCCCCGCACACAGGUGAGAUUGUGACACUCAUAUGCACACCCAGCCAACAAUAAAACUUUUCAUCUUUCCACAUGAACACAGCCCACUGUUGAGGUCCUGAGUCUCCCUUGUGAAAACAGUGCAAAGUUGAAAAAUUGACUCUUAUAUGUGGAUUUGGUUCACAGAUGGGUUGGUGAUGCUCAGACAAAUAUUCAGCACACCUGUGAGUCUGCGACUCCAGUAAUCAUCCACAGUCUGCAGGAGAAAUUGAGGCUCUCACCAACAAAUCAAGUGCACAAUUGAGAUUGCGACUCUUGUACUCAGACCCAACAUACAGAAUGUGUUGACUCUCAAUUUUAAAACCAGAACAUGUGUGAGAUUAUUAAUCUGAUCUCUAAACCAUCCUGCAAGUGUGAUUGUGACACAAGUCUCUGUUCAGUACUUGAGUGAUUUGACUCCUUUGCCUGGGCCCAGUCCAAAGAUGUAAUUGUGACAUAUCACUGAAACCAGCAUAUAGGAGAUGUGUCUCCAUACUCCUGCCUUGGUGCUGCCCACAGUGGGCACUGUGACAUAUCACUGGGCCUUGUAUCCAAGUGAUGUAAGUCUCUUCUUUCUUGAUACUGACCACAGGAGACACUAUGACAUAUCCCUGGGCCUCAAGCUCAGCUUAUGUCAUUCUCCUAUUUGUUCUCUGUCCACAUGGGCCAUUGUGACAUACUGCUGAGUUUGGCAUCCAUGUGAUAUAACACUUCAGCCUCAGCUUUGCUCACUUGGGGCAUUGUGAUGUAUCUCUGCACCCAUCACUUAGAUGAUUCAACUCUUUUCUUCUGUCUCAUCUGUGCUUAAAACGGGCAAUUGUUACCUAUUGCUGGGUCCAGCAUGUAGCUGAUGUGUCUCUUCUCAUCUUCCUAAGGACUGCCUGCAGGGGAUAUGGUGACAUUUUACUUUGCCCAGCACCAAGAUGACUUGAAUCUGCUGCCUUUGUUCUACUUUCAGAAGACAUUGUGACAUAUCGCUGGGCCUAGCACCAAGGUGAUGUGAAUCUUCUGCCUGGACCUGCUCACAGAGGGAAUUGUUACAUAUUUUUGACUUCAUCAACUAUUUGAUGUGACUCUCCUCUCUAACCUGGGCCUUGCCCAUAAAAAACAUUGUGGCUUAUCUCUGGGCCCAAAACCUAGGUGAUGUGACUGUCUUCUUAGGGUCAUGCCCACAGUAGAGAGAUGCCUUAUUGCUAAACCCAGCACACAGGUGAGGUGAUUCUUCUGUCUGGUCCCUGCCCACAGGGGUCAUGAUGACAUCUCUCUAAGCCCAUCACCUAGAUUAUGUGAGUUCUCUUUUUCUUCUGUUAGCUAUAUAGAAGAUUGUGACAUAUUGCUUGGCCCAGACCUCAUGUGAUGUGAAUCUCCUCUCAUGCCUUGGUCCUGUUUUUUUUUGGCCGUUGUUGUUUUGUUUUGUUUUUUGAGAUGGAGUCUUGCUCUGUUGCCUAAGCUGGA
Molecule: long non-coding RNA, 4422 nt
Filed under: Homo sapiens (human)
Lineage: Eukaryota; Metazoa; Chordata; Mammalia; Primates; Hominidae
Description: HSALNT0396683
Source: RNAcentral